ACGUACACUCCUGCGGGAGGCAGCAGUGGGGAAUUUUGGACAAUAGGCGAAAGCCUGAUCCAGCCAUGCCGCGUGCAGGAUGAAGGCCUUCGGGUUGUAAACUGCUUUUGUACGGAACGAAACGGCCUUUUCUAAUAAAGAGGGCUAAUGACGGUACCGUAAGAAUAAGCACCGGCUAACUACGUGCCAGCAGCCGCGGUAAUACGUAGGGUGCAAGCGUUAAUCGGAAUUACUGGGCGUAAAGCGUGCGCAGGCGGUUAUGUAAGACAGUUGUGAAAUCCCCGGGCUCAACCUGGGAACUGCAUCUGUGACUGCAUAGCUAGAGUACGGUAGAGGGGGAUGGAAUUCCGCGUGUAGCAGUGAAAUGCGUAGAUAUGCGGAGGAACACCGAUGGCGAAGGCAAUCCCCUGGACCUGUACUGACGCUCAUGCACGAAAGCGUGGGGAGCAAACAGGAUUAGAUACCCCGGUAGUCCCAUGA
RNAcentral lists this ribosomal RNA (480 nucleotides) under uncultured organism. RNAcentral describes it as "partial 16S ribosomal RNA". It matches the Rfam family "Bacterial small subunit ribosomal RNA", at positions 329 to 800 of the family's 1533-position model. The record is from RNAcentral.